GGCCCAAACAAAUGAACAUACGGCGUAAAGCGUGUUUAAAACCCAUUUCCGAUAAAGUCAAACCGUAACUAAUCUGUAAAAAGUCCCUAGUUACUGUAAGUCCUAAAACUAAAGUAACUUUAAUCAUUUGACUACACGACAACUAAGAUCCAAACUGGGAUUAGAUACCCCACUAUGCUUAGUUUUAAACUAAAGUUGUUUUUAUAACAAAACUACUCGCCAGAGAACUACUAGCCAAAGCUAAAAACUCAAAGGACUUGGCGGUGCUUUACAUCCCUCUAGAGGAGCCUGUUCUAUAAUUGAUAAACCCCAAUAAACCUCACCAACCCUUGCUAAUU
Molecule: ribosomal RNA, 338 nt
Filed under: Thyroptera tricolor (Spix's disk-winged bat)
Lineage: Eukaryota; Metazoa; Chordata; Mammalia; Chiroptera; Thyropteridae
Description: partial 12S ribosomal RNA
Rfam family: Bacterial small subunit ribosomal RNA
Source: RNAcentral